This 466-nucleotide ribosomal RNA is filed under the name Vreelandella stevensii. RNAcentral describes it as "partial 16S ribosomal RNA". It matches the Rfam family "Bacterial small subunit ribosomal RNA", at positions 338 to 795 of the family's 1533-position model. Lineage: Bacteria; Pseudomonadati; Pseudomonadota; Gammaproteobacteria; Oceanospirillales; Halomonadaceae. The record is from RNAcentral.
CCUACGGGAGGCUGCAGUGGGGAAUAUUGGACAAUGGGGGCAACCCUGAUCCAGCCAUGCCGCGUGUGUGAAGAAGGCCCUCGGGUUGUAAAGCACUUUCAGUGAGGAAGAACGCCUGGUGGUUAAUACCCAUCAGGAAAGACAUCACUCACAGAAGAAGCACCGGCUAACUCCGUGCCAGCAGCCGCGGUAAUACGGAGGGUGCGAGCGUUAAUCGGAAUUACUGGGCGUAAAGCGCGCGUAGGUGGCUUGAUAAGCCGGUUGUGAAAGCCCCGGGCUCAACCUGGGAACGGCAUCCGGAACUGUCAAGCUAGAGUGCAGGAGAGGAAGGUAGAAUUCCCGGUGUAGCGGUGAAAUGCGUAGAGAUCGGGAGGAAUACCAGUGGCGAAGGCGGCCUUCUGGACUGACACUGACACUGAGGUGCGAAAGCGUGGGUAGCAAACAGGAUUAGAUACCCCGAGUAGUC